UCUUCUUUCUCGUACUAAAUUGAUUUCUAUUAUUUCUGGGUUCUGAAAAUUGAUUAGUUUAUACGGGUGGGGUGGGCCAAUUUGGGUAUGUCAAAUGUGCCCAGUUUUUAUUCAAUCAAAUGCCAUGCCCAGAUUUUUAUUGGGGGAGGAAUGUGGAGGUAUUAUUGUGUGCCACGACUGGUACGCAUUGAGGGCAAUGAAAAUUUGAAAGAGAAAUAAAAAGUGAUUUGAGAUUGAAGGGAAUGAGGAAGACACAGUUAACUUCACAUCAGGCGAGCACACACAGAUUCGCAUACAUCCUUCACCUCCUCAAGAUGAACAUAAAAAAGAUGUAAUGGCAACUGUGGAGAUAGUUAACCUUAUGGAGCUGCCACCCAUUGUACUACUUGGUGAUUUAUUCACAACUGGAAGUAGAGACAUAUAUUAUCUACAUCCUCUCCUAGACCUGUGGAUGAAAAACCCGACCUCCCCAUGCCUCUCUUUCUGAACAGACCUCCCCACCCCUGCCCCCAGAACCAUCAUCAUCAACAAGGGCACCUUCUAUAGUGCACCAGUUGCACCCAUGCAC
Prunus dulcis (almond) is the source of this 568-nucleotide long non-coding RNA. RefSeq lists it as uncharacterized. The record is from RefSeq and is a predicted model, not a curated record. NCBI's taxonomy places the organism in Eukaryota, Viridiplantae, Streptophyta, Magnoliopsida, Rosales, Rosaceae. The transcript is spliced from 4 exons.